GAGCCGGUAGCUCAGCCGGUAGAGCAACUGACUUUUAAUCAGUAGGUCCUGGGUUCGAACCCCAGCCGGCUCA
RNAcentral lists this transfer RNA (73 nucleotides) under Paenirhodobacter enshiensis. RNAcentral's name for it is "Rhodobacter sp. DW2-9 tRNA". It matches the Rfam family "tRNA". Rfam says of the family: Transfer RNA (tRNA) molecules are approximately 80 nucleotides in length. Lineage: Bacteria; Pseudomonadati; Pseudomonadota; Alphaproteobacteria; Rhodobacterales. RNAcentral also lists the same sequence under 1 other name. The record is from Rfam by way of RNAcentral.